RNAcentral lists this ribosomal RNA (775 nucleotides) under uncultured Fibrobacter sp. RNAcentral describes it as "bacterial SSU rRNA". It matches the Rfam family "Bacterial small subunit ribosomal RNA", at positions 163 to 942 of the family's 1533-position model. The record is from RNAcentral. Lineage: Bacteria; Pseudomonadati; Fibrobacterota; Fibrobacteria; Fibrobacterales; Fibrobacteraceae.
UUAAUGUCCAGGAGAGUGGCCCCCUGCAUGGGGGGGUGACUAGAGAUUUAUCGGUAUGGGAUGAGCUUGCGUCCGAUUAGCUAGUUGGCGGGGCAACGGCCCACCAAGGCGACGAUCGGUAGCCGGCCUGAGAGGGUGAUCGGCCACAUUGGGACUGAGAUACGGCCCAGACUCCUACGGGAGGCAGCAGUAGGGAAUAUUGCACAAUGGGGGAAACCCUGAUGCAGCAACGCCACGUGUGGGAAGAAGCAUUUCGGUGUGUAAACCACUGUCAUGAGGGAAUAAGGCCCGCCUCCGGGCGGGAUUGAAUGUACCUUGAGAGGAAGCACCGGCAAACUUCGUGCCAGCAGCCGCGGUAAUACGAGGGGUGCAAGCGUUGUUCGGAAUUACUGGGCGUAAAGGGAGCGUAGGCGGAGAUUCAAGCGGAUUGUACAAUCCCGGGGCCCAACCCCGGCUCUGCAGUCCGAACUGGAUCUCUUGGAUAGUUCAGGGGCAGGCGGAAUUCCUGGUGUAGCGGUGGAAUGCGUAGAGAUCAGGAAGAACACCGAUGGCGAAGGCAGCCUGCUGGGGACUCAUCGACGCUGAGGCUCGAAAGUGCGGGUAGCAAACAGGAUUAGAUACCCUGGUAGUCCGCACCGUAAACAAUGCAUACUGGGUGUCCGGGGGUUCCCCCGGGUACCGUAGCCAACGCGUUAAGUAUGCCGCCUGGGGAGUACGUACGCAAGUAUGAAACUCAAAGGAAUUGACGGGGGCCCGCACAAGCGGUGGAGCAUGU